UUUCUUCUUCUUUCUCUUGCAGACUGAUUAAAAACUCUUUGAGUUUGAAGGUUUUUGUGUCAAAACAGCUCAGCUGCCAGCUGGGUGCCAAGCAGUGAAUAUUCAUGGUAUUUAAAUGUGACGGUGCGGUGGGGGCUAAAGGACGGGCUAGUUAGCUCUUUUUAGAUGGAGAUUAGCUGCCUCUUUGCUCCUAAUCACCACUGUUGUUGAAAUAUUACAGCUUCUGUUACAACUAUUAAUGUCCUAAAUGAAGUACAGGCUCCUCUGAAUAACAUCAAACACGAAAUGGUCACUUCCAAUUUCAGCCUGUUUCUCUCCUCUUUGCUAAUGUGUGUUUUCAUUUUUAACUGGAGUCCCGCCUUGGUACCAGACGUUCAGCUCCGAGCCCUGCAGGAGGAGAGGAGCUAGCCUGGCUCGAGGGAGCUGCCGAGAGCUGAAGCAGCAUUCGCACUUCGGGUCACUGGUUCAAGAGAGGUCAGUUGCUGGCCAGAGGUUGUUAUUUACCUCAUGAGGAUGGCGGCUGCUUGGGGUCAGGAGUGGGUACCCCUCUGCAAGUCGAUCCUUCAUGGACAGGCUUUCAGAAUCUGCUACUCUAGGUCAAGCCCCUGUUAACAGCACAGGAUGGAGGCAAGCAAGGGUCCAGGCAAGUGUGAGCUGAGGCCCACCACUGGAGUGAUGUGCAGGACAGCACAGUGCCCCAUUGCUCUCUGGGCUGGUAUUCACCAGGGGCAAAACGAAAACCACAGCUCUGGGUUCCACCAGGAACAUUAUAAAUGGUGAGGUAAGCUGACAGGCUCCUGUUUGAGCUUUGCUCAGAUAAAACUCCCAGUGAAGUGAGAGGCUGGAUAAAAUCCGUGACAGGGUGGUGUGAGUUGGUCCUUUCACGGCAAUAUCUGGAGGGAAGCCUGACGGAAAAUACUUUGCAGCAAAAACUGCCCAGAUGUCCUAUGUGUGUUUGGCCAUUUGGAACCUCUCUGCAUUCAUCCACGAGAACUGCCCGCC
This 1002-nucleotide long non-coding RNA is filed under the name Strigops habroptila (Kakapo). RNAcentral's name for it is "lncRNA (ENSSHBG00005000258.1)". Lineage: Eukaryota; Metazoa; Chordata; Aves; Psittaciformes; Psittacidae. The record is from RNAcentral.